RNAcentral lists this unclassified non-coding RNA (335 nucleotides) under soil metagenome. RNAcentral describes it as "partial contains 5.8S ribosomal RNA, internal transcribed spacer 2, and large subunit ribosomal RNA". The stretch from base 1 to 120 matches the Rfam family "5.8S ribosomal RNA", at positions 35 to 154 of the family's 154-position model. The record is from RNAcentral.
GAUGAAGAACGUAGUGAAAUGCGAUAAGUAAUGUGAAUUGCAGAAUUCAGUGAAUCAUCGAAUCUUUGAACGCACAUUGCGCCCCUUGGUAUUCCAUGGGGCAUGCCUGUUCGAGCGUCAUUUGUACCUUCAAGCUUUGCUUGGUGUUGGGUGUUUGUCUCGCCUUUGCGUGUAGACUCGCCUUAAAAUAAUUGGCAGCCGGCGUAUUGAUUUCGGAGCGCAGUACAUCUCGCGCUUUGCACUCAUAACGACAGCGUCCAAAAGUACAUUUUACACUCUUGACCUCGGAUCAGGUAGGGAUACCCGCUGAACUUAAGCAUAUCAAUAAGCGGAGA